GCCUCCUUAGCUCAGCGGCUAGAGCACCUGUCUUGUAAACAGGGGGUCGUGGGUUCGAUUCCCACAGGGGGCUCCA
Molecule: transfer RNA, 76 nt
Filed under: Propionibacteriaceae bacterium
Lineage: Bacteria; Bacillati; Actinomycetota; Actinomycetes; Propionibacteriales; Propionibacteriaceae
Also listed under: 1 other name
Description: tRNA-Thr
Rfam family: tRNA
About the family: Transfer RNA (tRNA) molecules are approximately 80 nucleotides in length. Their secondary structure includes four short double-helical elements and three loops (D, anti-codon, and T loops).
Source: RNAcentral